This 367-nucleotide transfer-messenger RNA is filed under the name Deltaproteobacteria bacterium. It matches the Rfam family "transfer-messenger RNA". Rfam says of the family: Bacterial tmRNA, also known as 10Sa RNA or SsrA, is named for its dual tRNA and mRNA-like properties. Its role is to liberate the mRNA from a stalled ribosome. The record is from RNAcentral. Lineage: Bacteria; Pseudomonadati; Myxococcota; Myxococcia. RNAcentral also lists the same sequence under 1 other name.
GGGGGCGAUCGGUUUCGACGGGAACGAAGAAGGAUUGGUUGCGUGUCCGCCGGCCUGGUACGGCGAAAAUCAUCCAGGAACCCAAUAAGUGCGAACGACAACGCGCUCGCUCUCGCUGCCUGAACAGGGUUAGUUGAGGGCCGUCGACCCGGAGAGCCCGUCAGUACUCUCCGGUAAGGCGUCAUUUGAGCUGACUGGUCACCGUGGGCGUUACUCGCUGCGGUGAUGAGACUUUCGAGUAGCUAGCGACCCUGAAGGCCCGUUCGUGGGCAUGACGGAGAGCGAAACUUCAAAUACACGAACUACGCACGUAGAAGCUCGUCUGGAACGUUCUCGGACCGGGGUUCGAUUCCCCGCGCCUCCACCU